GAACUGGAGAGUUUGAUCCUGGCUCAGAGCGAACGUUAGCGGCGGGCCUAACACAUGCAAGUCGAACGAGAAAGCCCUUCGGGGUGAGUACAGUGGCGCACGGGUGAGUAACGCGUAGGUAAUCUACCCUCAGGCGGGGGAUAACGUUCCGAAAGGGACGCUAAUACCGCAUAAGACCACAGUCUCUGCGGAGACAGUGGGAAAAGAUGGCCUCUCCUUGGAAGCUAUCACCAGAGGAUGAGCCUGCGUCCCAUCAGCUUGUUGGUAAGGUAACGGCUUACCAAGGCGAAGACGGGUAGCUGGUCUGAGAGGAUGAUCAGCCACACUGGCACUGGAACACGGGCCAGACUCCUACGGGAGGCAGCAGUGAGGAAUAUUGGGCAAUGGGCGCAAGCCUGACCCAGCCACGCCGCGUGAGUGAUGAAGGCCUUCGGGUUGUAAAGCUCUGUGGGGAAGGAAGAAAAAGCGUUGGAAUAAUACCCAACGCCUUGACGGUACUUCCUUAGCAAGCACCGGCUAACUCUGUGCCAGCAGCCGCGGUAAGACAGAGGGUGCAAACGUUGCUCGGAAUUACUGGGCGUAAAGCGCGUGUAGGCGGAUACGCAAGUCGGGUGUGAAAGCCCCGGGCUCAACCUGGGAACUGCAUUCGAAACUGCGUAUCUCGAGUACUGGAGAGGGAAGCGGAAUUCCCGGUGUAGAGGUGAAAUUCGUAGAUAUCGGGAGGAACACCAGUGGCGAAGGCGACUUUCUGGCACAUUCCUGACGCUGAGGAGCGAAAGCGUGGGUAGCGAACGGGAUUAGAUACCCCGGUAGUCCACGCCGUAAACGAUGGAUACUAGGUGUAGGAGGUAUCGACCCCUUCUGUGCCGGAGUUAACACAUUAAGUAUCCCGCCUGGGGAGUACGGUCGCAAGGCUGAAACUCAAAGGAAUUGACGGGGGCCCGCACAAGUGGUGGAGCAUGUGGUUUAAUUCGACGCUACGCGAAGAACCUUACCUGGACUUGACAUGGACUGGAAUGUACUGGAGACAGUGCAGCCUUCGGGCUAGUUCACAGGUGCUGCAUGGCUGUCGUCAGCUCGUGCCGUGAGGUGUUGGGUUAAGUCCCGCAACGAGCGCAACCCUUACUCUUAGUUGCCAUCGGGUAAUGCCGGGCACUCUAGGGGGACCGCCAGCACAAGCUGGAGGAAGGUGGGGAUGACGUCAAGUCAGCAUGGCCCUUACGUCCAGGGCUACACACGUGCUACAAUGGCCGGUACAGAGAGCAGCCAACCCGCGAGGGGGAGCGAAUCUCAUAAAGCCGGUCUCAGUUCGGAUUGCAGGCUGCAACUCGCCUGCAUGAAGCCGGAAUCACUAGUAACCGCAGAUCAGCUACGCUGCGGUGAAUACGUUCCCGGGCCUUGUACACACCGCCCGUCACGUCACGAAAGCUAGUUGCACCCGAAGUCGCUGGGCUAACCGCAAGGAAGCAGGUGCCGAAGGUGUGAUUGGUGAUUGGGACGAAGUCGUAACAAGGUAGCCGUAUCGGAAGGUGCGGCUGGAUCACCUCCUUU
RNAcentral lists this ribosomal RNA (1551 nucleotides) under Polyangiaceae bacterium LLY-WYZ-15_(1-7). RNAcentral describes it as "bacterial SSU rRNA". It matches the Rfam family "Bacterial small subunit ribosomal RNA". The record is from RNAcentral. Lineage: Bacteria; Pseudomonadati; Myxococcota; Polyangiales; Polyangiaceae.